Molecule: long non-coding RNA, 297 nt
Organism: Zea mays
Lineage: Eukaryota; Viridiplantae; Streptophyta; Magnoliopsida; Poales; Poaceae
Exons: 2
Source: RefSeq, a predicted model, not a curated record
CCGUCGUGACCGUGCUGAAGGGAAGCGUGAGGGAGAGGAGAAGGAGUGCGGCCGCCGUGGGGGAAAAUCCGCGCGGUGAAGUGGAUUUGGGGCCUAGGCUACUCGUUUGCUGGUGGUUCAAGAGGAGCCACGCAACGAGGAGUUCGAUUCGAUCUAGGUGGCGUCUCCCAGUUGACUGUGGCACCAAGGAUGGACUUUAGUUCGAUCUAUAUUUAUCUUUUAUUUUGUAAAGACUUCCGCUAUGUAAUAAGUACUCUGAUUAUAUUGUGACAUUUAUCUCUAUACACUCUGUUAUUA